GGGUUGUGAGGUUAAGCGACUAAGCGUACACGGUGGAUGCCCUGGCAGUCAGAGGCGAUGAAGGACGUGCUAAUCUGCGAAAAGCGUCGGUAAGGUGAUAUGAACCGUUAUAGCCGGCGAUGUCCGAAUGGGGAAACCCAGUGCAAUUCGUUGCACUAUCGUUAACUGAAUACAUAGGUUAACGAGGCGAACCGGGGGAACUGAAACAUCUAAGUACCCCGAGGAAAAGAAAUCAACCGAGAUUCCCCCAGUAGCGGCGAGCGAACGGGGAGCAGCCCAGAGUCUGAAUCAGCUUGUGUGUUAGUGGAACGGUCUGGAAAGUCCGACGGUACAGGGUGAUAGUCCCGUACACCAAAAUGCACAGGCUGUGAACUCGAAGAGUAGGGCGGGACACGUGGUAUCCUGUCUGAAUAUGGGGGGACCAUCCUCCAAGGCUAAAUACUCCUGACUGACCGAUAGUGAACCAGUACCGUGAGGGAAAGGCGAAAAGAACCCCGGCGAGGGGAGUGAAAAAGAACCUGAAACCGUGUACGUACAAGCAGUGGGAGCACCUUCGGGUGUGACUGCGUACCUUUUGUAUAAUGGGUCAGCGACUUAUAUUCUGUAGCAAGGUUAACCGUAUAGGGGAGCCGCAGGGAAACCGAGUCUUAACUGGGCGUUAAGUUGCAGGGUAUAGACCCGAAACCCGGUGAUCUAGCCAUGGGCAGGUUGAAGGUUGGGUAACACUAACUGGAGGACCGAACCGACUAAUGUUGAAAAAUUAGCGGAUGACUUGUGGCUGGGGGUGAAAGGCCAAUCAAACCGGGAGAUAGCUGGUUCUCCCCGAAAGCUAUUUAGGUAGCGCCUCGUGAAUUCAUCUUCGGGGGUAGAGCACUGUUUCGGCUAGGGGGUCAUCCCGACUUACCAACCCGAUGCAAACUACGAAUACCGAAGAAUGUUAUCACGGGAGACACACGGCGGGUGCUAACGUCCGUCGUGAAGAGGGAAACAACCCAGACCGCCAGCUAAGGUCCCAAAGUCAUGGUUAAGUGGGAAACGAUGUGGGAAGGCACAGACAGCCAGGAUGUUGGCUUAGAAGCAGCCAUCAUUUAAAGAAAGCGUAAUAGCUCACUGGUCGAGUCGGCCUGCGCGGAAGAUGUAACGGGGCUAAACCAUGCACCGAAGCUGCGGCAGCGACACUAUGUGUUGUUGGGUAGGGGAGCGUUCUGUAAGCCUGCGAAGGUGUGCUGUGAGGCAUGCUGGAGGUAUCAGAAGUGCGAAUGCUGACAUAAGUAACGAUAAAGCGGGUGAAAAGCCCGCUCGCCGGAAGACCAAGGGUUCCUGUCCAACGUUAAUCGGGGCAGGGUGAGUCGACCCCUAAGGCGAGGCCGAAAGGCGUAGUCGAUGGGAAACAGGUUAAUAUUCCUGUACUUGGUGUUACUGCGAAGGGGGGACGGAGAAGGCUAUGUUAGCCGGGCGACGGUUGUCCCGGUUUAAGCAUGUAGGCUGGUUGUCCAGGCAAAUCCGGAUAAUCAAGGCUGAGGUGUGAUGACGAGGCACUACGGUGCUGAAGUAACAAAUGCCCUGCUUCCAGGAAAAGCCUCUAAGCAUCAGGUAACAUUAAAUCGUACCCCAAACCGACACAGGUGGUCAGGUAGAGAAUACCAAGGCGCUUGAGAGAACUCGGGUGAAGGAACUAGGCAAAAUGGUGCCGUAACUUCGGGAGAAGGCACGCUGGUGUGUAGGUGAAGUCCCUGCGGAUGGAGCUGAGACCAGUCGAAGAUACCAGCUGGCUGCAACUGUUUAUUAAAAACACAGCACUGUGCAAACACGAAAGUGGACGUAUACGGUGUGACGCCUGCCCGGUGCCGGAAGGUUAAUUGAUGGGGUUAUCCGUAAGGAGAAGCUCUUGAUCGAAGCCCCGGUAAACGGCGGCCGUAACUAUAACGGUCCUAAGGUAGCGAAAUUCCUUGUCGGGUAAGUUCCGACCUGCACGAAUGGCGUAAUGAUGGCCAGGCUGUCUCCACCCGAGACUCAGUGAAAUUGAACUCGCUGUGAAGAUGCAGUGUACCCGCGGCAAGACGGAAAGACCCCGUGAACCUUUACUAUAGCUUGACACUGAACAUUGAGCCUUGAUGUGUAGGAUAGGUGGGAGGCUUUGAAGCGUGGACGCCAGUCUGCGUGGAGCCAACCUUGAAAUACCACCCUUUAAUGUUUGAUGUUCUAACGUUGGCCCCACCGGGGUUGCGGACAGUGUCUGGUGGGUAGUUUGACUGGGGCGGUCUCCUCCCAAAGCGUAACGGAGGAGCACGAAGGUUAGCUAAUCCUGGUCGGACAUCAGGAGGUUAGUGCAAUGGCAUAAGCUAGCUUGACUGCGAGCGUGACGGCGCGAGCAGGUGCGAAAGCAGGUCAUAGUGAUCCGGUGGUUCUGAAUGGAAGGGCCAUCGCUCAACGGAUAAAAGGUACUCCGGGGAUAACAGGCUGAUACCGCCCAAGAGUUCAUAUCGACGGCGGUGUUUGGCACCUCGAUGUCGGCUCAUCACAUCCUGGGGCUGAAGUAGGUCCCAAGGGUAUGGCUGUUCGCCAUUUAAAGUGGUACGCGAGCUGGGUUUAGAACGUCGUGAGACAGUUCGGUCCCUAUCUGCCGUGGGCGCUGGAGAAUUGAGGGGGGCUGCUCCUAGUACGAGAGGACCGGAGUGGACGCAUCACUGGUGUUCGGGUUGUCAUGCCAAUGGCACUGCCCGGUAGCUAAAUGCGGAAGAGAUAAGUGCUGAAAGCAUCUAAGCACGAAACUUGCCCCGAGAUGAGUUCUCCCUGAGACUUUAAGUCUCCUGAAGGAACGUUAAAGACGAUGACGUUGAUAGGCCGGGUGUGUAAGCGCAGCGAUGCGUUGAGCUAACCGGUACUAAUGAACCGUGAGGCUUAACCUUACAACGCCGAAG
RNAcentral lists this ribosomal RNA (2921 nucleotides) under Klebsiella pneumoniae. RNAcentral describes it as "23S ribosomal RNA". It matches the Rfam family "Bacterial large subunit ribosomal RNA". The record is from RNAcentral. Lineage: Bacteria; Pseudomonadati; Pseudomonadota; Gammaproteobacteria; Enterobacterales; Enterobacteriaceae.